This 433-nucleotide ribosomal RNA is filed under the name uncultured bacterium. RNAcentral's name for it is "bacterial SSU rRNA". It matches the Rfam family "Bacterial small subunit ribosomal RNA", at positions 471 to 902 of the family's 1533-position model. The record is from RNAcentral.
GACGGUACUUGAGGAAUAAGCCACGGCUAAUUCCGUGCCAGCAGCCGCGGUAAUACGGGAGUGGCAAGCGUUAUCCGGAAUUAUUGGGCGUAAAGCGUCCGCAGGCGGCCCUGUAAGUCUGUCGUUAAAGCGUGGAGCUUAACUCCAUUUAAGCGAUGGAAACUACAGGGCUUGAGUGUGGUAGGGGCAGAGGGAAUUCCCGGUGUAGCGGUGAAAUGCGUAGAUAUCGGGAAGAACACCAGUGGCGAAGGCGCUCUGCUGGGCCAUAACUGACGCUCAUGGACGAAAGCCAGGGGAGCGAAAGGGAUUAGAUACCCCUGUAGUCCUGGCCGUAAACGAUGAACACUAGGUGUCGGGGGAAUCGACCCCCUCGGUGUCGUAGCCAACGCGUUAAGUGUUCCGCCUGGGGAGUACGCACGCAAGUGUGAAACUC